AACGAACGCUGGCGGCAGGCCUAACACAUGCAAGUCGAGCGCCCCGCAAGGGGAGCGGCGGACGGGUGAGUAACGCGUGGGAAUAUGCCCUUUGCUACGGAAUAGUCUCGGGAAACUGGGGGUAAUACCGUAUAUGCCCUUUGGGGGAAAGAUUUAUCGGCGAAGGAUUAGCCCGCGUUGGAUUAGGUAGUUGGUGGGGUAAUGGCCUACCAAGCCGACGAUCCAUAGCUGGUUUGAGAGGAUGAUCAGCCACACUGGGACUGAGACACGGCCCAGACUCCUACGGGAGGCAGCAGUGGGGAAUCUUAGACAAUGGGGGCAACCCUGAUCUAGCCAUGCCGCGUGAGUGAUGAAGGCCUUAGGGUUGUAAAGCUCUUUCAGCUGGGAAGAUAAUGACGGUACCAGCAGAAGAAGCCCCGGCUAACUCCGUG
RNAcentral lists this ribosomal RNA (431 nucleotides) under uncultured bacterium. RNAcentral's name for it is "partial 16S ribosomal RNA". It matches the Rfam family "Bacterial small subunit ribosomal RNA", at positions 29 to 507 of the family's 1533-position model. The record is from RNAcentral.